GGUUAGACCGACCGACCCGCCCCUUGGGUGUGCGUCUGGUUGAGUCUAUCCAUCCUUCUGGAGAACGUCGCUGUCAUUCACUUGGCGGCGGCGGUAUCCAGGACUUUUACUUUGAAAAAAUUAGAGUGUUUAAAGCAGGCCAACGCUUUGAAUACAUUAGCAUGGAAUAAUAAAAUAGGACUACGUUUCUAUUUUGUUGGUUUCUAGGAACGCAGUA
Molecule: ribosomal RNA, 217 nt
Filed under: uncultured fungus
Lineage: Eukaryota; Fungi
Description: partial small subunit ribosomal RNA
Rfam family: Eukaryotic small subunit ribosomal RNA (bases 93-217)
Source: RNAcentral